Molecule: ribosomal RNA, 301 nt
Filed under: uncultured bacterium
Lineage: Bacteria
Description: partial 16S ribosomal RNA
Rfam family: Bacterial small subunit ribosomal RNA
Source: RNAcentral
CAGUCGCCGCGGGAAUACAGAGGGUGCAAGCGUUAAUCGGAAUUACUGGGCGUAAAGCGCACGCAGGCGGUUGGUUAAGUCAGAUGUGAAAGCCCCGGGCUCAACCUGGGAAUUGCAUUUGAAACUGGCCAACUAGAGUAUGUGAGAGGGGGGUAGAAUUCCAAGUGUAGCGGUGAAAUGCGUAGAGAUUUGGAGGAAUACCAGUGGCGAAGGCGGCCCCCUGGCACAAUACUGACGCUCAGGUGCGAAAGCGUGGGGAGCAAACAGGAUUAGAUACCCCUGUAGUCCCUGUCUCUUAUAA